GAACGCUAGCUACAGGCUUAACACAUGCAAGUCGAGGGGAAACGACAUCGAAAGCUUGCUUUUGAUGGGCGUCGACCGGCGCACGGGUGAGUAACGCGUAUCCAACCUGCCCACCACUUGGGGAUAACCUUGCGAAAGUAAGACUAAUACCCAAUGACGUCUCUAGAAGACAUCUGAAGGAGAUUAAAGAUUUAUCGGUGAUGGAUGGGGAUGCGUCUGAUUAGCUUGUUGGCGGGGUAACGGCCCACCAAGGCUACGAUCAGUAGGGGUUCUGAGAGGAAGGUCCCCCACAUUGGAACUGAGACACGGUCCAAACUCCUACGGGAGGCAGCAGUGAGGAAUAUUGGUCAAUGGACGAGAGUCUGAACCAGCCAAGUAGCGUGCAGGAUGACGGCCCUAUGGGUUGUAAACUGCUUUUAUAAGGGAAUAAAGUGAGUCUCGUGAGACUUUUUGCAUGUACCUUAUGAAUAAGGACCGGCUAAUUCCGUGCCAGCAGCCGCGGUAAUACGGAAGGUCCGGGCGUUAUCCGGAUUUAUUGGGUUUAAAGGGAGCGUAGGCCGGAGAUUAAGCGUGUUGUGAAAUGUAGAUGCUCAACAUCUGAACUGCAGCGCGAACUGGUUUCCUUGAGUACGCACAAAGUGGGCGGAAUUCGUGGUGUAGCGGUGAAAUGCUUAGAUAUCACGAAGAACUCCGAUUGCGAAGGCAGCUCACUGGAGCGCAACUGACGCUGAAGCUCGAAAGUGCGGGUAUCGAACAGGAUUAGAUACCCUGGUAGUCCGCACGGUAAACGAUGGAUGCCCGCUGUUGGUCUGAAUAGGUCAGCGGCCAAGCGAAAGCAUUAAGCAUCCCACCUGGGGAGUACGCCGGCAACGGUGAAACUCAAAGGAAUU
This 890-nucleotide ribosomal RNA is filed under the name uncultured bacterium. Its description in RNAcentral is "bacterial SSU rRNA". It matches the Rfam family "Bacterial small subunit ribosomal RNA", at positions 31 to 911 of the family's 1533-position model. The record is from RNAcentral.